Molecule: non-coding RNA, 1411 nt
Organism: Python bivittatus (Burmese python)
Lineage: Eukaryota; Metazoa; Chordata; Lepidosauria; Squamata; Pythonidae
Source: RefSeq, a predicted model, not a curated record
CUGGUGAACUGCUCUACCUCCUGGGCAAUAAGCAGCACUAGGGCAACCUUAAUCCUACAUCAGAGAAGUAGUCCCAGAGGAAGCCCAAACGUUCACUGAUCGUCCUUUCUUCUUUAGUGCUGCUGAACCAUUUCCCCACUUCUUUGCCAUAGUUUGUUUUUGGCUUACAUUAUGGUAAAAUAUUUUUCCCUAAAAAGUGCUCCUGCACCAAUAUUUCAAUAUUUUUAAGCCAAAGAGCAUUUCAGCACAAAUGGAAAGAUCAGUGUUAAAAAUUGUGCUUGAGAGGCCACUUCAUCCAUUGCACGGCAUCCUGAAUCUACUUUCUGCAUCUUAACCAAUGGACGGGACUCUUUUUACGGCAGUAAAUAAGGGCUUCCUGAGAAUACUGGAUUAUAACUUCCAUACGUGACCCAGGCAACUAGACCGAUACAACAUGAAAAGCUGGUGGCUGCUUCCAAACUGAACUUCAAUUCACUUGAAUUUUAGGCAUUUUUCCAAGGCCAGAAGCAUCUCCUGACCACAUCCUUUCCAAUUGCUCAGAACGGUGACUGUUUCUUGCACAGAUUUCUCUUUAAGACACCUCCAAGUAUUACGAAAUGCAAGCGGAGCCAUUCAAGGAUGAAAAAUGAUUGCGACAUGCUCUGUGGAAAAGACCUUCACAGUUGCCAAGUGGUGUUUCUGCUAGGUUCCCCUGGGACCUGAAGCACCUGAAGACUGUCCCCGAUGUGACUUCAGACCUUGGCACUUACCCCAGGACUUCCUGGCACAAUCUUGAUCCAACUGAGCAUUUGGAAAUUAAUUCAUUUCAGUUGCAGUGUUUUAAUUUUGAUGUUCCAAUGGGAACCCUGUUGAAUGGAAGGGAACUCACUUCUGAAUAAUAAGCAGACACAAUAAGCUUGAGUAACACAUGGGCUGUAAAUCUAGUUAGUUGAAAUAAAGAGGAUCAAAAGUGCUUAAUUUUAACUGGGUUGUGCCCAGUUAACAUCCAACACAUAUAUGUUAUUGAUUUGCAUCUUUAAAAAGCUAUCUGUGCACCUAGGCAUAUACAAAAUCAAAUAUUGCUGUAAGCUAUACUAGUAUGUGACAAGAUAGGUCAGCAACAAUAAAUAUUUAAUUAGAGUCAUCAGAGCCCUGUAAUCUGCUUCAGUAAGGAGGCUUGUGAGUGGUCCUGUCCUUACAGCUUUACUGUGAGAAUUUAUGGGCAGUGAUUGGUAGAUUCUUCUAGCUUUGUUUUCCUUCCCACUCAACAUUAACAGCUGGCUGGAAAAAUCACACCAAUUGCUUUUCUUAAGGUGGUGCAGGGUGGGCUUGGGCGAGUGGGAGUGGGUGUCAGCCUUCCCAGGUAGACCAGACAGGAAACACGACCAGAUAAGCUAAUUCUACUUUAUUGUAAGGCUACAUUAACAGAAUC